This 255-nucleotide ribosomal RNA is filed under the name Enterobacter cloacae. RNAcentral's name for it is "partial 16S ribosomal RNA". It matches the Rfam family "Bacterial small subunit ribosomal RNA", at positions 325 to 572 of the family's 1533-position model. The record is from RNAcentral. Lineage: Bacteria; Pseudomonadati; Pseudomonadota; Gammaproteobacteria; Enterobacterales; Enterobacteriaceae.
CACGGUCCAGACUCCUACGGGAGGCAGCAGUGGGGAAUAUUGCACAAUGGGCGCAAGCCUGAUGCAGCCAUGCCGCGUGUAUGAAGAAGGCCUUCGGGUUGUAAAGUACUUUCAGCGGGGAGGAAGGUGUUGAGGUUAAUAACCUCAGCAAUUGACGUUACCCGCAGAAGAAGCACCGGCUAACUCCGUGCCAGCAGCCGCGGUAAUACGGAGGGUGCAAGCGUUAAUCGGAAUUACUGGGCGUAAAGCGCACGC